AGGGUGCAAGCGUUACUCGGAAUUACUGGGCGUAAAGCGUGCGUAGGUGGUUCGUUAAGUCUGAUGUGAAAGCCCUGGGCUCAACCUGGGAAUGGCAUUGGAAACUGGCGACCUAGAGUGCGGUAGAGGGUAGUGGAAUUCCCGGUGUAGCAGUGAAAUGCGUAGAGAUCGGGAGGAACAUCUGUGGCGAAGGCGACUGCCUGGACCAGCACUGACACUGAGGCACGAAAGCGUGGGGAGCAAACAGG
RNAcentral lists this ribosomal RNA (248 nucleotides) under uncultured bacterium. Its description in RNAcentral is "partial 16S ribosomal RNA". It matches the Rfam family "Bacterial small subunit ribosomal RNA", at positions 529 to 776 of the family's 1533-position model. The record is from RNAcentral.